UUGUGGUUCGUCGAGUUCAUGUAGGCCCUCAGACUUCCAAAGUGCCAUUUUCGCCAAUGAAUCUGCUGCUCUGUUCCCUUCUCUCUAGAUAUGAUUUACUUCUCGAACUCAUCCCUCUUUUAUUAAUUUUUUCAAUCGUUAAGGAUAAUAUCCCUUUGCAUGUUCUCGCUUUCUUCCUUCUUCAGAUAAUCGAUCGCCUAUUUCGCAUCAGAUUCCAAGAUGAGAUUUCUCAGACCGAUUUGUUUGGCGAUGAGUAGACCCUGUCGAAUGCCCCAAAUCUCCGCCAUUUCGCUGCUAGUAUUUCCAAUAUUCAACAUGAACCCACGGAGCCAUAUGCCGUUUUUAUCUCUAAUCAGACAUCCUGCAGCGGCCAUUCUAGAUCUGGAGAUGCAUGCUCCAUCAGUGUUUAACGUCCAGUAGCCAGAGAGGGGUUUUCUCCAAUGGAUCCACUUCGAUUCUCUGGUUUGUAGGCACUGAGCUCGUGGCACUUGGGAGCGUGUCGCCAGAUUGUCAGAUUCUAUAUACCAGCGGUAGUAGAGUGUCUUGAUUAUUAUAGUGAGAAUGUAUUAUCGUAGACUCUUUUUUAUUCGAGUCAUAACUCGUGGAUUCUUGUAUUUUAUAAAUAUUUUUAGAGUUCCCGUUAGUAAAUUUUACUA
Molecule: long non-coding RNA, 656 nt
Organism: Hibiscus syriacus
Lineage: Eukaryota; Viridiplantae; Streptophyta; Magnoliopsida; Malvales; Malvaceae
Exons: 2
Source: RefSeq, a predicted model, not a curated record